Molecule: ribosomal RNA, 497 nt
Filed under: uncultured bacterium
Lineage: Bacteria
Description: partial 16S ribosomal RNA
Rfam family: Bacterial small subunit ribosomal RNA
Source: RNAcentral
GAUGAACGCUGGCGGUGUGCCUAAUACAUGCAAGUCGAGCGAACAGACGAGGAGCUUACUCCUCUGACGUUAGCGGCGGACGGGUGAGUAACACGUGGAUAACCUACCUAUAAGACUGGGAUAACUUCGGGAAACCGGAGCUAAUACCGGAUAACAUGUUGAACCGCAUGGUUCAACAGUGAAAGACGGUCUUGCUGUCACUUAUAGAUGGAUCCGCGUCGCAUUAGCUAGUUGGUAAGGUAACGGCUUACCAAGGCAACGAUGCGUAGCCGACCUGAGAGGGUGAUCGGCCACACUGGAACUGAGACACGGUCCAGACUCCUACGGGAGGCAGCAGUAGGGAAUCUUCCGCAAUGGGAGAAAGCCUGACGGAGCAACGCCGCGUGAGUGAAGAAGGUCUUCGGAUCGUAAAACUCUGUUAUUAGGGAAGAACAAAUGUGUAAGUAACUAUGCACGUCUUGACGGUACCUAAUCAGAAAGCCACGGCUAACUACGUG